AAGCGCCGCUGUGUAUCUCUAUAUAUUGUGGGUGCGGGGUGGUUGGAGUUCUCUCUCUCCCCGGCAGUGUUCGUGGUGGUUACAGAUGAGGGAACUGAUGAGGUGGUACAUGCAUGCAUCCGGAGUUGUGUGUCCAUGUAGAAGUUGUGGGGAGCUUUUUGGUGAUGCCAUUGAUCCUCCCUGAGUGGUGCUGCUGGUGACCUGGUGUCCGGCUAUGUGUGUCUGCAGCGCACUGGUGGAGCUAGAGGAACUUGGCAGAAUAGCUGUAUUUGGAGUUGUGUUCAUGUAGAAGCCGUGUGGAUCCUCCAUGAGCGGUGUGAACUGACUGAUUCUGUAAGUGGGGUCUGCAGCAUGGUGUGCAGAGCUAGAGGAAAGUGGCUGGGAAGAGUCUGCUGAGGAAUGGCUGUGUACGAUUGGGAUCACAUUCUGUGUGGGCCAAGGGAAGAUUCUGUUGGAAUGCUGGCACUUACGCGAUGGUGCUGUCUACUUCUGUUUUUUUAUAAAUCUAAAUAAAACACUGUUCAGACACCA
Long non-coding RNA from Pseudophryne corroboree (corroboree frog), 531 nucleotides. RefSeq lists it as uncharacterized. The transcript is spliced from 6 exons. The record is from RefSeq and is a predicted model, not a curated record. Lineage: Eukaryota; Metazoa; Chordata; Amphibia; Anura; Myobatrachidae.